UUCCUAUUAUAACCGAGUCUAAGACAUGUCGUGUUUAUAACAUUAGCCUGGUUAUUGAUGGUGCUUACGAUCUUGUUCCUAUUAUAACCCAGUCUGAGACAUGUCGUGUUUAUAACAUUAGCUGGUUAUUUUAGGUGCUUACGAUCUUGUUCCUAUUAUUACCCAGUCUAAGACAUGUCGUGUUUAUAACAUUAGCUGGUUAUUUUAGGUGCUUACGAUCUUGUUCCUAUUAUAACCGAGUCUAAGACAUGUCGUGUUUAUAACAUUAGUCUGGUUAUUUUAGGUGCUUACGAUCUUGUUCCUAUUAUUACCCAGUCUAAGACAUGUCGUGUUUAUAACAUUAGCUGGUUAUUGAUGGUACUUACCAUCUUGUUCCCAUUAUAACCAAGGCUAAUACAUGUCGUGUUUAUAACAUUAGCCUGGUUAUUGAUGGUGCUUACCAUCUUGUUCCUAUUAUAACUGAGUCUAAUACAUGUCGUGUUUAUAACAUUAGCUGGUUAAUGAUGGUGCUUACCAUCUUGUUCCUAUUAUAACCCAGUCUAAGACAUGUCGUGUUUAUAACAUUAGCCUGGUUAUUGAUGGUGCUUACCAUCUUGUUCCUAUUAUAACCAAGUCUUAAGACAUAUCGUAUUUAUAACAUUAGCCUGGUUAUUGAUGGUGCUUACCAUCUUGAUCAUAUUAUAACCAAGUCUAAGACAUGUCAUGUUUAUAACAUUAGCUGGUUAUUGAUGGUACUUACCAUCUUGUUCCUAUUAUAACCCAGUCUAAGACAUGUCGUGUUUAUAACAUUAGCUUGGUUAUAUGAUGGUGCUUACCAUCUUGUUCCUAAUAUAACCCGGUCGAAGACAUGUCGUGUUUAUAAAAUUAGCUGGUUAUUGAUGGUGCUUACCAUCUUGUUCCUAUUAUAACCGAGUCUGAGACAUAUCGUAUUUAUAACAUUAGCCUGGUUAUUGAUGGUGCUUACCAUCUUGAUCAUAUUAUAACCAAGUCUAAGACAUGUCGUGUUUAUAACAUUAGCUGGUUAUUGAUGGUGCUUACCAUCUUGUUCCUAUUAUAACCCAGUCUAAGCCAUGUCGUGUUUAUAACAUUAGCUGGGUAUUGAUGGGGCUUACCAUCUUGUUCCUAUUAUAAGCCAGUCUAAGACAUGUCGUGUUUAUAACAUUAGCUGGUUAUUUUAAACAGUUCCACUGCUUUUCUUAGGUUGCAUUUCAUAGUUGAACACCUGAUUGAUAACUUUCAACAUACUUAUCGAUAAAGCGUUUAGAAUCAUAUUGUAUGGAGUAAAAACGUAAAAACCUGUUGGUACAGUCUUAUUAUAUACCUAUCAAAGUAAAGCAUUUUGUAUCCAAGAAAAUCAAAUUUUUGCUUUGUUUGAGAUGUUGCCAUGUAUCUGUAUUACAUGGUGUUUGGAGAAGGCAUUGUAAUGAGUUGACUUAAUGUGUGCCUACCUCUGUUGCUGCUUUUAGCUAUGAAAUAUGUUGUAAAUUAACAAAUCAUGCGUUAAUUAACAUCAACCU
Mizuhopecten yessoensis (Yesso scallop) is the source of this 1517-nucleotide long non-coding RNA. RefSeq lists it as uncharacterized. The transcript is spliced from 2 exons. The record is from RefSeq and is a predicted model, not a curated record. Lineage: Eukaryota; Metazoa; Mollusca; Bivalvia; Pectinida; Pectinidae.